GGGUGAGUAACACGUAUGCAACCUGCCCCUGUCAGGGGGACAACCCGCCGAAAGGCGGGCUAAACCCGCGUACAUGCCACCGGGGCAUCCCGGAGGCAGGAAAGGCUUCGGCCGGACAGGGAUGGGCAUGCGGCGCAUUAGGCAGUAGGCGGGGUAACGGCCCACCUAACCGACGAUGCGGAGGGGUUCUGAGAGGAAGGUCCCCCACACUGGUACUGAGACACGGACCAGACUCCUACGGGAGGCAGCAGUGAGGAAUAUUGGUCAAUGGUCGGGAGACUGAACCAGCCAAGCCGCGUGAGGGAUGAAGGUACAGAGUAUCGUAAACCUCUUUUGUCAGGGAACAAAGGCGGGGACGUGUCCCCGGAUGAGUGUACCUGAAGAAAAAGCAUCGGCUAACUCCGUGCCAGCAGCCGCGGUAAUACGGAGGAUGCGAGCGUUAUCCGGAUUUAUUGGGUUUAAAGGGUGCGCAGGCGGUCUGUUAAGUCAGCGGUCAAAGCCCGGGGCUCAACCCCGGCCCGCCGUUGAAACUGGCAGUCUCGAGUUGGAGAGAAGUAUGCGGAAUGCGCGGUGUAGCGGUGAAAUGCAUAGAUAUCGCGCAGAACUCCGAUUGCGAAGGCAGCAUGCCGGCUCCACACUGACGCUGAGGCACGAAAGCGUGGGUAUCGAACAGGAUUAGAUACCCUGGUAGUCCACGCAGUAAACGAUG
RNAcentral lists this ribosomal RNA (709 nucleotides) under uncultured bacterium. RNAcentral's name for it is "bacterial SSU rRNA". It matches the Rfam family "Bacterial small subunit ribosomal RNA", at positions 104 to 811 of the family's 1533-position model. The record is from RNAcentral.